CGUAGGGUGCAAGCGUUAUCCGGAAUCACUGGGCGUAAAGCGUGCGUAGGCGGAAAUUUAAGUGCAAUGUUAAAUCGAGUGGCUCAACCAUAUCGAUGCAUCGCAUACUGGGUUUCUAGAGGACGGCAGAGGCAAGUGGAAUUUGUAGUGUAGCAGUGAAAUGCGUAGAUAUUACAAGGAACACCAAUGGCGAAGGCAGCUUGCUGGGCCGAACCUGACGCUGUGGUACGAAAGCGUGGGGAGCGAACAGGAUUAGAUACCCUGGUAGUCCACGCCGUAAACGAUGCAUACUAGACGUAUGGGGUAUCGACCCCCUGUGCGUCGCAGCUAACGCGAUAAGUAUGCCGCCUGGGAAGUACGGCCGCAAGGCUA
This 372-nucleotide ribosomal RNA is filed under the name uncultured organism. RNAcentral's name for it is "bacterial SSU rRNA". It matches the Rfam family "Bacterial small subunit ribosomal RNA", at positions 526 to 896 of the family's 1533-position model. The record is from RNAcentral.